This 119-nucleotide ribosomal RNA is filed under the name Octopus vulgaris (common octopus). Lineage: Eukaryota; Metazoa; Mollusca; Cephalopoda; Octopoda; Octopodidae. RNAcentral also lists the same sequence under 1 other name. The record is from RNAcentral.
GUUUACGGCCAUAUCACAUUGAAAACACUGGUUCUCCUCCGAUCACCGAAGUUAAGAAAAGUCGAGCCUAGUUAGUACUUAGAUGGGUGACCGCUUGGGAAACCUAGGUGCUGUAAACG